GCAAUAUUGUUUAUCUUUUCCCUGUUAGACAGUGCCUUUGGUUUGCAUCCAUCAAUGUUCUUUGUAAUUAACUCACUAACUGCACUUGUUUCCUGACUCCCUGCGUCUACAUUACAGAAUCUUGCCUCUCAAAAUGGAAGCAGCAGCCAACCGAGACAUCUCCCAGAUGGUCGACGAACAGGGAGACCUACUUCGCCGGCAGCACAAUCAGCUAGCGCAACUAGGGAGGCAUCACCCCCAACGAGCGGAGGAUCCUCUACCAUGAGUCGACCCAGCGAGCCAACCCAUUCAGCAGUCUGCUCUGGGCAUGCGUUUGGAUCGAAUACGGCCAUCUGGGAGAGGGGAGAAGCUGUGUUCUUAUGGGAGGUUCAUGGUGCUGUUCAGAGGAGGCUUCGAUUAUCCACCGGAGGGCAGAGAGGGGGGAUGAGCACCUACUCCAACUACGGCAGGAGGACCAGACUGUUGCGGAGUUCGCACUCCCCUUUCGUACAUUGGCAGCAUCCAGCAGAUGGAAUGAGCCGUCGCUCCACACCUUAUUCCGAAGAGGUUUUGCGUGAGGAGGUCCAGACAAAGCUGGCAUGCCGAGACAACACCCUCUCAUUGGAUGCACUCAUCACGAUGACCAUCCGUCUGGAUAACCUACUUCGGGAGCAUUGGCACUCCAUCGCCUCUCUCCCUCUUUCGUUGACGGAUAUGAGUUUAAGCCUGACCCCUUGGAGGUAGGGGCUACACGCCUCCCCGCGGCUGAGUGAUGCCGCCGGAAGCAACAAAGCCAGUUCUGCUUACAAAUAAUGACAGUCUUGGGGUCUCGUUUUAUAAUGUCCUUAGACACAAUUGUGUGAUCCAAUCUGUGGUUUGGUUCAUAACCAUUGAACUUGAAAAUGUGAUUUAUUGUUUAAAAAAAAAUGCAUUUAGACAUUUUUGUAACUGAAAUGUUGUAUAAAAACGGUGUACAUUUUAUAAAUCAAGACACUAUGACCUUGUACAACUACGACAAUAAAAUGGCCCUGCUGAUGAUGAUGUUGUCA
Molecule: long non-coding RNA, 1028 nt
Organism: Oncorhynchus kisutch (coho salmon)
Lineage: Eukaryota; Metazoa; Chordata; Actinopteri; Salmoniformes; Salmonidae
Exons: 2
Source: RefSeq, a predicted model, not a curated record